UACGUAGGGAGCGAGCGUUAUCCGGAUUUAUUGGGCGUAAAGAGCUCGUAGGUGGCUUUUCAAGUCGGGUGUGAAAUCUCGGAGCUUAACUUCGAGCCUGCAUCCGAUACUGGACGGCUAGAGUCUGGUAGGGGGACCUGGAAUUCCUGGUGUAGCGGUGGAAUGCGCAGAUAUCAGGAGGAACACCGGUGGCGAAGGCGGGGUCCUGGGCCAGUACUGACACUGAGGAGCGAAAGCGUGGGUAGCAAACAGG
This 253-nucleotide ribosomal RNA is filed under the name uncultured bacterium. RNAcentral describes it as "partial 16S ribosomal RNA". It matches the Rfam family "Bacterial small subunit ribosomal RNA", at positions 524 to 776 of the family's 1533-position model. The record is from RNAcentral.